Molecule: long non-coding RNA, 216 nt
Filed under: Monodelphis domestica (gray short-tailed opossum)
Lineage: Eukaryota; Metazoa; Chordata; Mammalia; Didelphimorphia; Didelphidae
Description: lncRNA (ENSMODG00000048952.1)
Source: RNAcentral
UGCCUCUUCUCCCUAGAUCUAGUCCCGCGCCAGGGUCUCCCCCUCGAGGAGGGCGACGACUCCCGCCUGCCUCUUCUCCCUGGAUCUAGUCCCGCGCCAGCCCCUCUCCUGGCGGCCUCCCCCUCCGGCCUGCCUCUUCUCCCUAGAUCUAGUCCCGCGCCAGGGUCUCCCCCUCGAGGAGGGCGACGACUCCCAAGCCUCCCCCUCCGGCCUGCC